UACAGCCAUAUCAUUGUUGAAACACUGGUUCUCUUACGAUCACCGAAGUUAACGUCGAUCCUGGUCAGUAUCUAGAUGGUUGACCACUUGGGAAUGCCAAGUGCUGUAAG
Non-coding RNA from Acanthosepion pharaonis, 110 nucleotides. NCBI's taxonomy places the organism in Eukaryota, Metazoa, Mollusca, Cephalopoda, Sepiida, Sepiidae. The record is from the annotation of a GenBank genome assembly.